CUCUGAUGGAGGUGAAAUCUACAAAGUGCAGUGUAUCAUCAAGAACCUUGAAGAGGCCCGAAACCACGAGCUGGACAACCAUCAGAAGGCCGUCGCCACACUACAGAAUCUGCAUGUAACAAAAAUAGCCCAUCUGAGACGUCAGCAUCAAGAGAAAAUGACCAAGGUAAUUGAAGGACCAUCCAAUAACUGCUCUCAACAUGUGUUAUUAUCAGCAAGAUGGAAUUUUAAAAUUGAUAGUAGCCUGGUGUGGAGGUGCAUGUCUGCCAUCCCAACACUCUGUGGAGGCCGAGGCAGGAGGAUUGUUGUGAGUUUGAGGCCAGCCUAGUGGCCCCACACUCUGUGCACCUCUCAGUUGGC
RNAcentral lists this long non-coding RNA (360 nucleotides) under Chinchilla lanigera (long-tailed chinchilla). RNAcentral's name for it is "lncRNA (ENSCLAG00000029227.1)". Lineage: Eukaryota; Metazoa; Chordata; Mammalia; Rodentia; Chinchillidae. The record is from RNAcentral.